UGUGUUCUCUAAACAAUCUGAUACAGGC
This 28-nucleotide non-coding RNA is filed under the name Bombyx mori (domestic silkworm). Lineage: Eukaryota; Metazoa; Arthropoda; Insecta; Lepidoptera; Bombycidae. The record is from RNAcentral.